Molecule: transfer RNA, 77 nt
Filed under: Planctomycetota bacterium
Lineage: Bacteria; Pseudomonadati; Planctomycetota
Description: tRNA-Val
Rfam family: tRNA
About the family: Transfer RNA (tRNA) molecules are approximately 80 nucleotides in length. Their secondary structure includes four short double-helical elements and three loops (D, anti-codon, and T loops).
Source: RNAcentral
GCCCGCUUAGCUCAGUUGGCUAGAGCACCACCUUGACAUGGUGGGGGUCACAUGUUCGAGUCAUGUAGCGGGUACCA